This 1848-nucleotide long non-coding RNA is filed under the name Sorghum bicolor (sorghum). RNAcentral describes it as "long non-coding RNA (SBIC_LNC010063)". The record is from RNAcentral. Lineage: Eukaryota; Viridiplantae; Streptophyta; Magnoliopsida; Poales; Poaceae.
CAAGAGAAUUCAAGGAGACUAGCAGAUGGAGGACAUCCUAAUCGUUGUUAGGGUGCUGCCGACAUUCAAAUACACCUCUGCCACCUGCUAGCUACAUCAGAAGAAAUUACGUCAAAAUCCAGCUUGGGGGAGAGCACCCCCAUUUAUCCCGCUAAGUAUUUCUAUCUACAUUUAUACUUAUACUAUAUUAAAAUAAAAAUAUACAUAAUCAUGAAAAACCAAAUAAAUAUUUUGUACUUAUAUAUUUAUCAUUUGCUUAGUGUGCUUAAUAAAUAAAUAAAGUGGCUAUGCUAAACUGAAUCUUAAUAAGACUCUAGCAUGGAUAUGAUGAAUAGUUGCUCUGCCUAAUUUUUAAAUUUGAGUUCUCUCUCUAUUUUAGACAUACCUGUUAUAAUUUAAAGAUUGCUCUAAAAACCUGAACUUGUGGGAAGAGAACUUGAUGUGAAGUUUAAGUUGUUAAUGGAUAUGAUAUGAGAAGGUUGAGCUGCUGUUUUUCUGUUCCUAGAGAUGCUAGAGUUCUGGAGAAUUUUAUCUUUGAAAAUAUUUAAAAUAACACAUGAUGAGUUCCUGUAUGAUGAGAGUUUAAAUUCCUACCACAGCCAUAUAUACAUGCUUGCUAGACUUUGAGCCACACAUUUACUUUUUACUGCUUAUGAGCAUUGAGUGUGGUCAAGCUGUGUCGACCAUUAGGAGCUUGUCAUGUGGUUAAAUCAAGAUUCACUUGCACGUUCACUCACACAUGCUGCUUCUACUCUGGAAGUACGCAUCCACAUAUAUCCAGCCAUUUCCAUCUCGAGAACCACCCAAAAGUAUUCUACUCCUAAUCCGGGAGAGAAUAGCCAAAAACAUUCUCCUAUUUCUGUUUUUCCCUAUGAAAUAAAUGCUCAAGUUAUCUUGGUUACUACCACUUACUAUAUUAUUUCAAGAGAUGAGUGCUCUAAAAAAAGAGAAAGAAAAAGAUACGAGGAAAUAAAAAGGGGCAAGUGCCCGGAACCUUGAAAGAAUAGAAAAAGUGAGACGAGAGGUAAAAAUGGACAAGUUUCCGACAGUAGAAUUAGGGGUACAAGAUACCCACCUGAGAGGAAAGAAAAAAAAAUAUAGAGCAUCUCAUUCUCCUCAAAAAGCUUCAAAGUGAAAGAAAGGUAUGUAUCCCCUCAAAAGAGCACAAGUAGAAUUAGACUUUCACCAUUGUUAUCACCAUUAUCACCAUACACCAUUCAUUCACCACACAUGCACAUCUUGAUUUGACUUUUUGACAUGUUUCUCUGGAUCCAUGGUUUGACUAUGCAAUAAAUGUCUUGUAAGUAUGUAUAAUUUAUCUCCCACCUAUGAGCUCUAGAUAUCAAAAGCCUUAUUAAAAGUAGGGUGAGAGAGAAGGCAAUGUCACUAUACCUCAUACCACAAAUACUACAUACUUUGAGAGAAGGCAUAUACCAUCACUGCCUUAGUAAGGAUCUAGAAAUACCAUAAAAGAGAGAUCUGAGAGAGUCAUACAAGGAAUUUCUGAGUUUUAUUUGAAAAUCUGCAAAAAACUCCAGAGCUAUAGCUGAUCAAGAAUGAGAGACAUGGCGCUUGACUAGACCGUUAUAUCUUUUAACUGCUCAAGACAGAAGUGACGAUUACAAGUCCCAUGGUGAAAGGUAAAAUGAGUAUGCUUUAAGUCUUGACAGUUUACUCUAACUCAGAGAUAAGACCUCAUUUAAAAGCAUGUGUACCAUCAACUUUUAAAGGCAUUACAACAACUUCUGAUCCAUCACUGAGAUUAUCCUUGCUCAGGGACGAGCAAGAGGUAAGCUUCGGAGAGUUUGUUGACGGUCCUUAGGUAUCAAAUAUAAUCCAAAUGCAACC